ACAAUGGAGAGUUUGAUCCUGGCUCAGGAUGAACGCUAGCUACAGGCUUAACACAUGCAAGUCGCGGGGCAGCAUGGGGGUUGCUUGCAAUCCCUGAUGGCGACCGGCGCACGGGUGAGUAACGCGUAUCCAACCUGCCCUUCACCACGGGAUAACCCGGCGAAAGUCGGACUAAUACCGUAUGUUGUCCAUUGACGGCAUCCGAUUUGGACGAAAGGCUUAGCGGUGAGGGAUGGGGAUGCGUCCGAUUAGCUCGACGGCGGGGUAACGGCCCACCGUGGCGACGAUCGGUAGGGGUUCUGAGAGGAAGGUCCCCCACACUGGAACUGAGACACGGUCCAGACUCCUACGGGAGGCAGCAGUGAGGAAUAUUGGUCAAUGGGCGUAAGCCUGAACCAGCCAAGUAGCGUGCAGGAUGACGGCCCUAUGGGUUGUAAACUGCUUUUAUGCGGGGAUAAAGGAGCCCACGUGUGGGCUUUUUGCAGGUACCGCAUGAAUAAGGACCGGCUAAUUCCGUGCCAGCAGCCGCGGUAAUACGGAAGGUCCGGGCGUUAUCCGGAUUUAUUGGGUUUAAAGGGAGCGUAGGCCGCCCCUUAAGCGUGUUGUGAAAUGCGGGUGCUCAACAUCCGACUUGCAGCGCGAACUGGGGGGCUUGAGUGCGCCGAAAGUAGGCGGAAUUCGUGGUGUAGCGGUGAAAUGCUUAGAUAUCACGAAGAACUCCGAUUGCGAAGGCAGCUUACUGUAGCGCAACUGACGCUGAUGCUCGAAAGCGUGGGUAUCGAACAGGAUUAGAUACCCUGGUAGUCCACGCGGUAAACGAUGGAUGCUCGUUGUCGGCCUUUGAGGCCGGUGACCAAGCGAAAGCGUUAAGCAUCCCACCUGGGGAGUACGCCGGCAACGGUGAAACUCAAAGGAAUUGACGGGGGCCCGCACAAGCGGAGGAACAUGUGGUUUAAUUCGAUGAUACGCGAGGAACCUUACCCGGGCUUGAACUGCGGCGGAACGAUUCCGAGAGGAUGAGGCCCUUCGGGGCUGCCGCGGAGGUGCUGCAUGGUUGUCGUCAGCUCGUGCCGUGAGGUGUCGGCUUAAGUGCCAUAACGAGCGCAACCCCCGUCUUCAGUUGCCAUCGGGUUAUGCCGGGCACUCUGGAGAUACUGCCACCGCAAGGUGUGAGGAAGGUGGGGAUGACGUCAAAUCAGCACGGCCCUUACGUCCGGGGCUACACACGUGUUACAAUGGCGCAUACAGAGAGUAGGUGGCAUGCGAAUGCCAUCCAAUCCUUAAAGUGCGUCUCAGUUCGGACUGGGGUCUGCAACCCGACCCCACGAAGCUGGAUUCGCUAGUAAUCGCGCAUCAGCCAUGGCGCGGUGAAUACGUUCCCGGGCCUUGUACACACCGCCCGUCAAGCCAUGAAAGCCGGGGGCGCCUGAAGUCCGUGACCGCGAGGGUCGGCCUAGGGUGAAACCGGUGAUUGGGGCUAAGUCGUAACAAGGUAGCCGUACCGGAAGGUGCGGCUGGAACACCUCCUUU
This is a ribosomal RNA of Prevotella sp. oral taxon 317, 1530 nucleotides long. It matches the Rfam family "Bacterial small subunit ribosomal RNA". The record is from Rfam. NCBI's taxonomy places the organism in Bacteria, Pseudomonadati, Bacteroidota, Bacteroidia, Bacteroidales, Prevotellaceae.